UCAGAGAUAGUUCAAUGGUAGAACACCCGGCUCUGAACCGGGAUGUUGGAGGUUCGAAUCCUCCUCUCUGAACCA
This 75-nucleotide transfer RNA is filed under the name Planctomycetota bacterium. RNAcentral describes it as "tRNA-Gln". It matches the Rfam family "tRNA". From Rfam's summary of the family: Transfer RNA (tRNA) molecules are approximately 80 nucleotides in length. Their secondary structure includes four short double-helical elements and three loops (D, anti-codon, and T loops). The record is from RNAcentral. Lineage: Bacteria; Pseudomonadati; Planctomycetota.